Molecule: ribosomal RNA, 207 nt
Filed under: uncultured bacterium
Lineage: Bacteria
Description: partial 16S ribosomal RNA
Rfam family: Bacterial small subunit ribosomal RNA
Source: RNAcentral
CGCGUAGGCGGGCUUUCAAGUCAGAUGUGAAAUCUGCCGGCUUAACCGGCAGUCUGCAUCUGAUACUGAUGGUCUUGAGUACGGAAGAGGAGAGCGGAAUUCCAGGUGUAGCGGUGAAAUGCGUAGAUAUCUGGAAGAACACCGGUGGCGAAGGCGGCUUUCUGGACCGGUUCUGACGCUGAAGCGCGAAAGCGUGGGGAGCAAACG